Python bivittatus (Burmese python) is the source of this 95-nucleotide small nucleolar RNA. RefSeq annotates it as small nucleolar RNA SNORD35. The record is from RefSeq and is a predicted model, not a curated record. Lineage: Eukaryota; Metazoa; Chordata; Lepidosauria; Squamata; Pythonidae.
UGGUAAUGAUGUAUGAACUCACGAUGGUCUGCAGAGCCCUCAGGUGAAUGGGGGGCUGCUGAAGGCGCCAAUCUGGCACUCACUGAACCAAAGAG